Paramormyrops kingsleyae is the source of this 107-nucleotide ribosomal RNA. The record is from Ensembl. Lineage: Eukaryota; Metazoa; Chordata; Actinopteri; Osteoglossiformes; Mormyridae.
GUUUUUGGCCGCACCACCCUGAAAAUGUGAUUUUGGAAGCUAAAUAGGGUUGACCCUGGAUAGUACUGUGAUAGGAGGCCACCUGGGAAUAUUAGGUACUGUAAGGA